RNAcentral lists this transfer RNA (71 nucleotides) under Marmota monax (woodchuck). RNAcentral's name for it is "tRNA.Ala". It matches the Rfam family "tRNA". Rfam says of the family: Transfer RNA (tRNA) molecules are approximately 80 nucleotides in length. Their secondary structure includes four short double-helical elements and three loops (D, anti-codon, and T loops). The record is from RNAcentral. Lineage: Eukaryota; Metazoa; Chordata; Mammalia; Rodentia; Sciuridae.
GCGGUAUGGCUCAGUGGUAAAGUGAGAAUUUAGCAAGUGCAAGGUCCUGGGUUCGAUUCCCAGCACCAGCU